RNAcentral lists this ribosomal RNA (497 nucleotides) under uncultured bacterium. Its description in RNAcentral is "partial 16S ribosomal RNA". It matches the Rfam family "Bacterial small subunit ribosomal RNA", at positions 28 to 507 of the family's 1533-position model. The record is from RNAcentral.
GAUGAACGCUGGCGGCGUGCCUAAUACAUGCAAGUCGAGCGAACGGACUAGAAGCUUGCUUCUCUGAUGUUAGCGGCGGACGGGUGAGUAACACGUGGAUAACCUACCUAUAAGACUGGGAUAACUUCGGGAAACCGUAGCUAAUACCGGAUAAUAUUUUGAACCGCAUGGUUCAAAAGUGAAAGACGGUCUUGCUGUCACUUAUAGAUGGAUCCGCGCUGCAUUAGCUAGUUGGUAAGGUAACGGCUUACCAAGGCAACGAUGCAUAGCCGACCUGAGAGGGUGAUCGGCCACACUGGAACUGAGACACGGUCCAGACUCCUACGGGAGGCAGCAGUAGGGAAUCUUCCGCAAUGGGCGAAAGCCUGACGGAGCAACGCCGCGUGAGUGAUGAAGGUCUUCGGAUCGUAAAACUCUGUUAUUAGGGAAGAACAUAUGUGUAAGUAACUAUGCACGUCUUGACGGUACCUAAUCAGAAAGCCACGGCUAACUACGUG